This 437-nucleotide ribosomal RNA is filed under the name Fidelibacterota bacterium. RNAcentral describes it as "bacterial SSU rRNA". It matches the Rfam family "Bacterial small subunit ribosomal RNA", at positions 1094 to 1533 of the family's 1533-position model. Lineage: Bacteria; Pseudomonadati; Fidelibacterota. The record is from RNAcentral.
GAGCGCAACCCCUACUCUUAGUUGCCAUCAGAUAAUGCUGGGGACUCUAGGAGAACUGCCUACGCAAGUAGAGAGGAAGGUGGGGAUGACGUCAAAUCAUCACGGCCCUUACGUCCUGGGCUACACACGUGCUACAAUGGCCGGUACAGAGAGCAGCCACCUGGUGACAGGGAGCGAAUCUCUAAAGCCGGUCUCAGUUCGGAUCGAAGUCUGCAACUCGACUUCGUGAAGCUGGAAUCGCUAGUAAUCGCGCAUCAGCCAUGGCGCGGUGAAUACGUUCCCGGGCCUUGUACACACCGCCCGUCAAGCCAUGGAAGCUGGGGGUACCUGAAGUCGGUGACCAUUUAGGAGCCGCCUAGGGUAAAACUAGUGACUGGGGCUAAGUCGUAACAAGGUAGCCGUACCGGAAGGUGCGGCUGGAAUACCUCCUUUCUGGA